RNAcentral lists this ribosomal RNA (253 nucleotides) under uncultured bacterium. Its description in RNAcentral is "partial 16S ribosomal RNA". It matches the Rfam family "Bacterial small subunit ribosomal RNA", at positions 524 to 776 of the family's 1533-position model. The record is from RNAcentral.
UACGUAGGGGGCUAGCGUUGUCCGGAAUCAUUGGGCGUAAAGAGCGUGUAGGCGGCCCGGUAAGUCCGCUGUGAAAGUCGGGGGCUCAACCCUCGAAUGCCGGUGGAUACUGUCGGGCUGGAGUCCGGAAGAGGCGAGUGGAAUUCCUGGUGUAGCGGUGAAAUGCGCAGAUAUCAGGAGGAACACCAAUGGCGAAGGCAGCUCGCUGGGACGGUACUGACGCUGAGACGCGAAAGCGUGGGGAGCAAACAGG